AGGGGCUCUCUCUGGCUCCCUGUCUGGAAUGCGCUCAGGAACUGUUCCUUCCAGUUGUAUGUCGACUUUCCUCCCAGGGUCAGAGUUGUCCUCGGGGUGGCUGGCAGGGCUGCCCUGGGACCCUCAUCCGUCCUCUAGCCCUGGAAGAGGAGCUCUCUCUGGGGCCCUGGGGGUGGGGAGGACAGUGACGACACCAGGAGGAGAGAAUAGCUCCUUUCUGUACCAUGUCCUCAUCACCGGGUGACAGAUGACAGCCUGUGGCUCCUCUGGGGCAGAAAGGUGUGGAAGAGAAAUCCCGGGCAAGAGUCAAGGACAAUCCUGUGAGGUGGGAACCAUUAUUAUUCCUCUGUGACGACCAAGGGAACAGAGACUCAGAAGCAUCGGGUGGCUUGUCUGAAGGCAUGCAGCCAGUUAAGUGGCCAAGGUGGAGACCCAGGCAUUCAGGCUGCAGCGUCUCUAGAAAUAACAAAAACAACCCCAAGAAUAAUUGCCGCCAUCCGACCAGAGACGCAGGCACUGUUUCCAUUAUCCCUCGUUACAGAUGGGGAAACUGAGGCCCAGGGAGGCCAGGUCUGGUGAUGUGCCCAGUGCCUUGUGGUAGGCGGGUUCUGAGCCCGGCCUGGUGCCACUCCGGAGCGGGUCCUGCCCCUUGAUGACCUGCUCUGCUGCUUUCCAUGACGGGCUGCUCCUCCAGCCUCCUUGCAAAUGCUUCAUCUCAUCGGUCCCACGGCUACGGGAGGUGGGCUGUUGUUUCUACUGCACGGAGGAUGGCGACGCGGCAGACACAGAGAGGUCGCUUCUCCAAGGCUGCAGAGCCAGCAAGG
RNAcentral lists this long non-coding RNA (824 nucleotides) under Equus caballus (horse). Its description in RNAcentral is "lncRNA (ENSECAG00000053439.1)". The record is from RNAcentral. Lineage: Eukaryota; Metazoa; Chordata; Mammalia; Perissodactyla; Equidae.